This 253-nucleotide ribosomal RNA is filed under the name uncultured bacterium. RNAcentral describes it as "partial 16S ribosomal RNA". It matches the Rfam family "Bacterial small subunit ribosomal RNA", at positions 524 to 776 of the family's 1533-position model. The record is from RNAcentral.
GACGUAGGGUGCAAGCGUUGUCCGGAUUUAUUGGGCGUAAAGAGCUCGUAGGUGGUCUGUUGCGUCGGUAGUGAAAACCCGGAGCUCAACUCCGGGCCCGCUACCGAUACGGGCAGACUAGAGGUAGGUAGGGGAGAGUGGAAUUCCUGGUGUAGCGGUGAAAUGCGCAGAUAUCAGGAGGAACACCGGUGGCGAAGGCGGAUCUCUGGGCCUUACCUGACGCUGAGGCGCGAAAGCUAGGGGAGCGAACAGG